GACGAACGCUGGCGGCGUGCUUAACACAUGCAAGUCGAACGGAAAGGCCCUGCUUUUGUGGGGUGCUCGAGUGGCGAACGGGUGAGUAACACGUGAGUAACCUGCCCUUGACUUUGGGAUAACUUCAGGAAACUGGGGCUAAUACCGGAUAGGAGCUCCUGCUGCAUGGUGGGGGUUGGAAAGUUUCGGCGGUUGGGGAUGGACUCGCGGCUUUUCAGCUUGUUGGUGGGGUAGUGGCUUACCAAGGCUUUGACGGGUAGCCGGCCUGAGAGGGUGACCGGCCACAUUGGGACUGAGAUACGGCCCAGCCUCGUACGGGAGGCAGAAGUGGGGAAUAUUGCACAAUGGGCGGAAGCAUGAUGCAGAAACGCCGCGUGCGGGAUGACGGCCUUCGGGUUGUAAACCGCUGUCGCCUGUGACGAAGCGUGAGUGACGGUGAUGGGUAAAGAAGCACCGGCUAACUACGUG
This 468-nucleotide ribosomal RNA is filed under the name uncultured bacterium. RNAcentral describes it as "partial 16S ribosomal RNA". It matches the Rfam family "Bacterial small subunit ribosomal RNA", at positions 28 to 507 of the family's 1533-position model. The record is from RNAcentral.